Long non-coding RNA from Coregonus clupeaformis (lake whitefish), 719 nucleotides. RefSeq lists it as uncharacterized. NCBI's taxonomy places the organism in Eukaryota, Metazoa, Chordata, Actinopteri, Salmoniformes, Salmonidae. The record is from RefSeq and is a predicted model, not a curated record. The transcript is spliced from 4 exons.
AUACAAAUAAUUGAGAAAGAAUUACAAAAUGUCAAGAUGCUCGUACACAAUAUGCUGAGCGAAAAACAUAUUACAGUAGUCUGGUAAACAAUGGAUUUGUUCUCUAAUUGGAAAAGUGUUUGUGAGGCUUUGUAUACCUUCUUUUCCCAUGUUUUGUAUGAAACAUUACUCUGCUAUCAUUUGGUCUAUUACAUUUUUACCUUUGGGAGAAAUGAGAUGAGCACAGGUCUACCUAGUAAAGUCCAGGUUGUAUCAAGCCUGUUCUUGGGUAAGAUGAGACUCCUCACUCUUUUCCUCUCAUCUCUCCUCUUUUCCCCCUAAGGUGUGUGCAGCUCACUCACUGCUGAGCGCGUCUCAAUCGCAUGUAUAGUAAAGUGUCCGAGAGGAGUGAGGUUGCCAGGAAACUGUCAGUGCUGGCGCUCCCCUCUGCCCGUCUGGGAGUCUGCUGCACCUGCCUCAGUAACCAGCCCUGCUGGCACCGCCACAGAGUGGCCUGGCGCUGGCCAUGGUGAACACGGGACAUACAGGACACCAAUGGUCCUCAGCAGCCUGAAAGGCAUCUUCUUGUCCAGCACUGAUGCCCUAGCAUCAGACAUGUCUAGAAAAAGCAAGAUGGAUCGUAAUGAUGAGAGAAUCAAAAGAGCUUUAAGGCGCCGCCCUUAUGUGUUGAAUCCAGUGAGGGUGAACACCCCUGAUUCUGUGUUGUGGCCAACCGGCAA